GGGGAGAGGCUGAAGUUAUCAUAACGGGGCGGUCUUGAAAACCGUUAGGGGGCAACCCCACGCAGGUUCGAAUCCUGUCCUC
This is a non-coding RNA of Tumebacillus flagellatus, 82 nucleotides long. The record is from Rfam. Lineage: Bacteria; Bacillati; Bacillota; Bacilli; Caryophanales; Alicyclobacillaceae.